GACCUGCGGAAGGAUCAUUAUUGAAAUAAACCUGAUGGGUUGUUGCUGGUUCUCUAGGGAGCAUGUGCACGCCUUGUCAUCUUUAUAUCUCCACCUGUGCANUUUUUGUAGACCUCUCAGGUCUAUGUUGCUUCAUUUACCCCAAUGUAUGUUAAUAGAAUGUUGUGCCUAUAUAAUAUAUACAACUUUCAGCAACGGAUCUCUUGGCUCUCGCAUCGAUGAAGAACGCAGCGAAAUGCGAUAAGUAAUGUGAAUUGCAGAAUUCAGUGAAUCAUCGAAUCUUUGAACGCACCUUGCGCUCCUUGGUAUUCCGAGGAGCAUGCCUGUUUGAGUGUCAUUAAUAUAUAUAUCAACCUUCUCUUGUUGAGUAGUUUGGAUGUGGGGGGUUUGCUGGCUUCUUAAAUGAAUUCAGCUCCCCUGAAAUGCAUUAGCAGAACAACCUGUUCAUUGGCGUGAUAACUAUCUACGCUAUUGAAUGUGAGGGGCAGUUCAGCUUUCUAACCGUCCUUGGACAAUUCAUCAUUAAUGUGACCUCAAAUCAGGUAGGACUACCCGCUGAACUUAAGCAUA
Molecule: ribosomal RNA, 570 nt
Filed under: uncultured Cortinarius
Lineage: Eukaryota; Fungi; Basidiomycota; Agaricomycetes; Agaricales; Cortinariaceae
Description: eukaryotic LSU rRNA
Rfam family: 5.8S ribosomal RNA (bases 184-337)
Source: RNAcentral